Molecule: non-coding RNA, 356 nt
Filed under: Triticum aestivum (bread wheat)
Lineage: Eukaryota; Viridiplantae; Streptophyta; Magnoliopsida; Poales; Poaceae
Also listed under: 1 other name
Description: Bacterial small subunit ribosomal RNA
Rfam family: Bacterial small subunit ribosomal RNA
Source: Rfam by way of RNAcentral
UUAGUAUGUAAAAGUUGGCAACUAUUUUAGCUCAUGAGAAUCGGGGAUCCGCCUGUGCAAAGACUGCCCCUACAUGACGACAGCUUGCUUCGGCUCAUGCUAUAAGGUGUUGGGUUAAGUCUCGCAACGUGUGCAACCCUUGUGUUUAGUUGCCACUAUGAGCUUUGAACCCUGAACAGACCGCCGAUGUUAGGUUGGAGGAAGGAGGGUAUGAAGCCAAGUCAUCAUGACCCUUAUGCCCUUGCGACACAUAUGCUAGGAUGGGUGGGACAAAGGGUCACAAUCUCGCGUGGGUGAGAUGACCCCAAAAACAUAUCCUUAGUUCGGAUAGCAGGCUGCAACUUGCCUCCAUGAAG